Molecule: ribosomal RNA, 427 nt
Filed under: uncultured Chlamydiae bacterium
Lineage: Bacteria; Pseudomonadati; Chlamydiota; Chlamydiia
Description: bacterial SSU rRNA
Rfam family: Bacterial small subunit ribosomal RNA
Source: RNAcentral
AACGCGAAGAACCUUACCUGGGCUCGAAAUGCAGAGAGCGACACCAGAAACGGUGUUUUCCGUAAGGAUUUCUGUAUAGGUGCUGCAUGGCUGUCGUCAGCUCGUGCCGUGAGGUGUUGGGUUAAGUCCCGCAACGAGCGCAACCCUUAUCACUAGUUGCCAUCAUUUAAGGUGGGGACUCUAGUGAGACUGCCUAGGUUAACUAGGAGGAAGGCGAGGAUGACGUCAAGUCCGCAUGGCCUUUAUGUCCAGGGCUACACACGUGCUACAAUGGUCGGUACAGAGGGCUGCAAAACCGUAAGGUCAAGCAAAUCCCAGAAAGCCGAUCUCAGUUCAGAUUGUGGUCUGCAACUCGACCACAUGAAGUCGGAAUUGCUAGUAAUGGCGAGUCAGCAACACCGCCGUGAAUACGUUCCCGGGCCUUGUA